RNAcentral lists this transfer RNA (70 nucleotides) under Tamias rufus (Hopi chipmunk). RNAcentral's name for it is "tRNA-Gly". It matches the Rfam family "tRNA". From Rfam's summary of the family: Transfer RNA (tRNA) molecules are approximately 80 nucleotides in length. Their secondary structure includes four short double-helical elements and three loops (D, anti-codon, and T loops). The record is from RNAcentral. Lineage: Eukaryota; Metazoa; Chordata; Mammalia; Rodentia; Sciuridae.
ACUCUUUUAGUAUUAACUAGUACAAUUGACUUCCAAUCAAUUAGUCCUAGAUCUAACCUAGGAAAGAGUA